Gorilla gorilla gorilla (western lowland gorilla) is the source of this 498-nucleotide long non-coding RNA. RefSeq lists it as uncharacterized. The transcript is spliced from 3 exons. Lineage: Eukaryota; Metazoa; Chordata; Mammalia; Primates; Hominidae. The record is from RefSeq and is a predicted model, not a curated record.
AAAGAAAACUUGGUUCAGGAGGCUCCAGACAGCUGAACCUGUGGAGGCGCCUGGAGGGUGGAUCUUCCAGAAAGCACAUGGCAGCUCCACACCCCUUCCCACAUGACUUGCCCUAUGCAUCUCUUCCAUCUGGCUGCUCAUCUGUAUCCUUUAUCAUAUCCUUUAAAAGAAACUGGUAAAUGUAAAGUUUCUACCAUUUCAAUUCCUUGUGGAACUCAAUCUGUUUUCUUAACUGAUGCAAAAAAGACCACUUAAAGGAACAUUAGACAGCACUUCAGCACGACGCUUGGGGGCCAUUUUAAACAGCAAAAUCACUAAUAAAAAGCAUAAAAAUGGGAAAAACGUGACACUAAAUAGACUGCGAAAAGGACACUUGUUUACAAUGAGAGCUGGAGCAAGAAGGCAGAAUGGAGCCUGGUUUUGACCUCAGCUAAGAACAAGCACAUCGGGCUAAAGUUUUUGAAGCUCUGGGCAUGUCAACGAAUGACUGGCAAAAGA